AAAGGUCAAUUUUCAUUAAAUGCUUAAGAAGUCAUUCCACUUUGAUGGACAAACUAUGUUUUAAAGCUUUUCCAUUUUAAAUUCAGAACUUCUAAAAAAAAUUCUCAUAGAUACUUUUGGCACCACAUAGGUCAUGCUCUCACUCUCUGAGGGCUAUUUAUACAGGCUAGCGUGUCCAAAUAUGCCUGACUUUAUACUCUUACAUCUCUGGUUUUAUUCUGUUACCCUAGCAUAGUCAAGGAGGAUCUACCUCUCAAUACUGCAGUGAAAGAGGUUAAAAUGACAAAAAGCUUCUGGAAUUAUUAAAAGCACAAACAAGCUUAUAUAAUAUAUUAAACAGUUGUAGAAGAUUUGCAACUGGAUUGAUACAUUCACCACUUUAACUUGUCUCCAUUAAGAACUGCUGUUCAACUGUAAAAAAUGGGUACGUAGGGAGAUUCAUAAAGCAUUGCAAAGAUCCUGAGGUAAAUGAAUCCACAGAACAGCUGUAAAUAUUUGCAGAUGUUGUAGAGUUGAGGUCAGGUGGUCUGAACAAGGCCAAAGUAAGAAAUUUCAAAGGAUCUAGUCUGCAACUUACUAUAUACUAUCAAAGCCCAAAAGUCUUUCCUAAUGAGCUUUGUCAUCAGCCCCACACUACACACAAAUCACAGAAUCACUUCUAAGUUACCGAAUAUGCUUACUAAAAAAAAAAAAAAAAAAAACACACUCAUGUCACACAUCUUCCUGCAAAGGAGACAAAAGCAGCUACAACACAUUCACAAUUUAAUUAAGCCCUCAUCUAUUAAAAACUAUUUCUGCUCUUCUAAGACAGAGGAACGUAUGACUCAUUCUCCCAAAUUCCUUUUAGCACUCUCACGCGUGGCAGUCGUACCCUCACCCACCUACCUCAGCACCUUCAUGUCUUCUCACCUGCAAGCUCCAAGUCUGAAUAAAAUUUCUGUAGAUGUAUUUAUCCAGUAACAGCAGGAAAUGUCAGUUCAUUCUAAACAAUUACACUUCUAGCCUCCUAAGGGUAGAUUUAAAGAAGUACAAUCUUCAAUAUCUCCUCUAUACUAAUAUUCCAUUUAUAGUUAAAAUAUAGAACUCUGCUUCAUACUCUGACCCAAUGGUUUUUGUUCCAAGUAUUGGAGUGCUUUCAACUUCAAGUUACUUGAAUGUAAUUCUAAAUCCCAAAAUGUUUCUAUUUUACUCAAAAAACAAAAAAAAACAAAAAAAACCACCAACCAUCACCAAUAGUAAUGUCAGGAACUAAGGCAUUGACAAAAUCCUUUAUUAGCAUGACAGCUCACACUGUGAUAUCAACACAUUCGCAAAAUAGAGUUGCCAAAAGAAAUACAUAAAACCAAAACAUUUUUGGGUGGUUUUUUUUCCCCUCAUUUCUUUUUCCUUAAGUCUUAUAAUCUUACAAAUCUGGCCCAUUCAUCUUCUUCCCAAAAAUCAGGUGUGCUGGUUUUUGUUUAACCUGUUUAAAUGUGUAAUAUUUCCACUUCCUGAUGUAACUCCAUUGAAUAGUUUUCCAAAUAGCUUGAUUUAGUUUGCUUCAGCCAAAGCUCUCUUUGCUCAGGACCAAAAUCAAAGCCACAUUUUCUCUGAUGAAAGCGGUGUUUUCCUUUUUUUCCUGUUUUUAAGUCACAGGGGUUCAGAAACGCUCACCUCAGAAUUUAGUGUGGAUCUCCAGUAAUUAUAGCCCCAAAUGAAAAGAAAUUCUUUCAGGAGAGUACAGCAGCUAUUACAUAGCAGAUAUCAAAACUACACAAUUGUUCAGGACAGGAAGUGAUGGCAUCUCUCAUUAAACUAAAACUAAACAGGAAAUAACUUUACAUAAUUAGCCAACUUGAAAUCUGGCCAGGUCACAGGGAUUAAGAACUCCUACCAAAGUUCAGCUCACCCUGUGUUAAUUGGCUGUGAACUUAAUUUCAAAGCAGAGAACGUUCUAUUCUACAUAUGAUGUACAGCACACACCAAAGAAGGUUAUAUAUGUACAAGCUAACAAAAUCAGUUUCUCUUGAGGUACUUAAGGUACGUUAGCGUAAGGUUGAAGGUUUAAAUAGUUUUGUUCAUAACAUGCAUUUUAGUUGACUACCUUUACAGUUACACUAACUAAUCUUUAGCAUUUUAAGAUACAAUGCAGAAUUUCUUUCCAAUGCUCCCAAUACCAUGAUAGAAAUACAACUGUAAAUUUAUAUCAUUUCUUCGACAAAAACUGGUUAACUUGUGUCUGUUUGUUAAAGACCUUCAGUUUGUGAAAAACUUUUCGUUUUGAAGCACAAAGUAACGUUCAGAUUAUUAGGCUUCUAGCUCCUCUAAGUGUGUACUAAUUACGUUUGCAUAUCACAGUGCUAAGGACAUUGUAAGCACAUUUUAUAUUUUAAGAACCUGAUGAUGUAGACAUAAAAUAAAAAAAUACAUGUAACAUACCAAUAUCUGCAAGAAAGCUAGCUUGGUGAAUGAAUUGAAUUACAUUACUAAGAACAUGUCCAUAAAGAAGAAAAAAUUGUAAAGUAGGCUAAGACACCAUUCAUCUAAGAAACACGUGUAAUUUGAUCAAGUUAAUUCCUAAUAUCUUUCAGUACAAAAUUUGCUAUUAACUACAUCUUCUCAAGAAGUGAUUUUACUUAACCUGGUAUUUCAUCACUGCAGAUUAACUUGACUGAUUCAAUUAAAUAUGGCAGAUACAAUAUCUGGUGGAGUAAUUUAAGAAAAAAGUAUCCAAUACAUCAAAGUGCUCCAACUCAUCUAUUUAGCCAUUGGGAUAAUGACUUUUCCAAAUAAAUCAUUAUGUGAAAGAAAUACAGAAGACAUGGAUCUGAUUUCCAACAACCAAUUAAUAUAUUUCAUUUUCCUUUAUAUCACAAAUACUAUUCUUGACAAGAAAAGUAGAUUAAAAGAUAAAUUAGACAUCCUUAGAAGUUACACCUUUUAUUUUUCAUUGCAUCACAAUUAGUAAUUUCUAAAAAUCUAUAAACUGCUAAUAAUGACAUUAUUUUUAUAGAUUAGGAUUGUGGUAGAUAAGACCUGAAAUCAUAAGCUUGUGAUUCUAAGUCCUCUUAAGUUCUGCCUUCCAAAUAGCAGACCGAAACAUUUAAUAUCCGUUGUAAAUUUAGUUGCACAAGUCAGUAAGGAAUUACAUCUAAGAUCCAGAAACUUGUUGUUACAUAAAAACAUAACUUACAAGAACACAGAUUGUAGAAGAGAUCAGAAUCAUUCUUCUUCAGUGUAAUACUAUCCUGAUGUUUCUUUCUUCUUUUUUCUUUUUAAUCUGUUGGUCCUAUCUUCUUCAGAAAUUCUUAAAUAUCUAUUGUUUCUUAAUUUGACCACAUUUUCCUCCAUCAUCAGUUUCCUUUCUCAGUGCUUCGUGUUCAUUUAGAAGAUGGCUCACAACCACCACGCAUGGUGCAACACAGAUCAAACUUCUUUCAGGACUGCAGAGAAUUGAGCUACACAUUUAGAAUUUGGAUAUUUUUAUCAUGUUUCUGAAACAAUUGAAACAUCAAGGAUGCCUUCCCCUGUCUUGUUUAUCAAAUAUUUAGCCCUUUUUAAUAUGAAAGCAAGCACAGAAAGGAUCAUUUCCUCACUACCGAAAGUUUAGAAUAAUACUCUUUGAAUAAAUACCAUUUCGGCUUUUUAUUAUAGAUCUGGGGAGUUUCCUUAGGCAAAAAAAUCAUAACAAGCAGCUACUUACUUUGACAACAAAAGUAACAGCCUGACACAAAUAUAUGGAUAACUAAAAACUUCCAGUCUUGGUCUUCCUGCUACCACCUCCCUUUUUUCUCCCCAGAACAUACCAGCUUCCUUUGCCACAUGUUAAAACUGUCACACGUUAUUUGCAGUGCCCUACAGAUAGCUUUCAGCAAAGCUCAGUGAUAAAACCUUGCCCAAAGUACUUGCUGGUAUGGUGAAGCAGUGAAUUCUGGUAGUUGCACGAAGGUAUGUAAGAAUUCUCCUAUGUGGAAAAAGGGCAGAGCAUUUGAAAUUAUAGACUACAGUGGAAAUGGCUCACAAAUUAAGUACAUUACUGUCCUUAGUUAAGUAUGCAAAUCUCAGCUUCUAGAAGUUACCAGUAAGGAUUCUUUUGAUGCUUGUCACAACAUUAUUAUUUAAAAUAAACAGAAAAAAUAUUUUUAUUUAAAAAAAGAUUCCCAUUCUUGGAUUUCAAUGUGAAAUCUUAUUUACCAAAUAUAAAUUAAUACAGAUGUAUGACAAAUAGUCACAUUCAUUCGUAGGAUACCAAAGAUAGAAAUAAUCUCUAUGGUUUCCCCACCAUUCUGCUAGCCUGAAUAUACCAAAUUCAACCUCCUCUUCUGACAAACUCAGCAACUUAUGAAGAAAAUAACAAGUAAUUUAAAUCAUUAGAUCAAAUAGACCUGUAGAGUUAACUGCUAGAUCCAGCAGCAUUCCCCUGAUUUUGCAAUACUGAUGGCCUUUGGCCAACAUCCAACCUUGGUUUGACUUCUGGCUGCUGAGGAUGACGCGUAGCCCUGGCUCACUGCAGGUUUCCAGUCUGACUCCAAUGCACGCAAAGCACUGAGCCAAGAACACCUCAGCUCCUUUCUUGUCUGCCUCUUCCCUUGCACAAAUCAGAAGAGGCCUCACUGCAAGCUCAGAUGAAGCUGAGGGCUGCCUCCAGCUGGCUGCCCCUGGUGCCAGGCCUCAUACCACCGCUGAGCCUCGCCACUCAGUUCCAGCACUUCACACUGGGCUCAACACAGAAGGCUGAGUUGCAGGGUCGGCUCGGACCAGGCAAACUCCCUGCUGGCUGGCCACCCAGUUACACCCACAGGUGCUGGCCAGCGUAGUUUAAAAUGCCACGCUCUCAGAUUCAUUGUUAACAGUUCUGCUUGAAGUUGGAUUUUGCUGGUAUAAGACUGCUGGCAGAUGACCUCAUAUGCAGACAGCUGAUUACACAAUCAGAUUUCCUCACCUGCUCACUCACUGGUAAGGAUUUUUUUAAUUACAGUGUAAUCCCAAUCCCAAUAUGUUCCUUUAUUUAAAAGGAACACAAGUGUUAAGUAGGGCAACGCUUUCAAAUCAGCCAAUUUACGUAUAUAACAAGUGUUGGGCAACAGCAAGUUAAGUGCUCAGCGCAAAAAUCCAAGAACAUUUAGAAUAGGAGAAUACAUACUUUCAUUGAGAGAAUGAAGGGCAGACAGUUGAGGAAAGGAGCAGCCAUCAACACACUGCUCAGAACACACAUAGAACACACAGGGCUCAGAUCUUCAUCAGCCUCACAUUUUGUUGCAGUAUGAAAACAUGUUAAGACUACAAAGUCGGACUCCACGAGUUCAGAAGCAAACAGAACUAAAGCUGCACAUGGGACAUUAGCUUGGCCUCCUUGUACACAGGAGCUGAUCGAUCUGAGGUAGUGCAGUGGGAGCUGGACACAAGGAAGGCUGUUGUCUGCUGAGUCUUUGCUGCGGGUGCUGGAGCAAAGAAUGAAAUACUGAGCUCCUGGUGCUUAAGGAAAACAUACACCUCACGGGAGAACAGGCUUCUAUCUUUUUCUUAAACUAAGCUUUCAGAUACAGUCGUUAACUAGCCUUCAUUACCAAAAUAUGCAGUUUGAACUUCUGGUUUCCUGAAUUACAGAGUACUCACAAUUGAAAUAGACCUAAAUUUAGAGCUGUUAUUGGAGCAAAGAUCAAAGAGGUACAGAGUUGGCCCUUUGAGAACAUACCACCAUUGCAGUCUAUCCAUCAGGCCUGGGCACAUCCACUCCUGUGAUUUAACAAGAAAUCUGUACCAAAUAAUUGGCAUUUAGGUCAAUGCUUAUAUUAGACCAACACAUAACACAAUCGGUCUCACACAAUCAUUCCCUUUUCAAAUCUGAAGGAACAACAUAAUCAAGAAAUGGCAGAGCAGCUGAAAGUGAACUUAACUGGAGAGGCAGCAGAAGGCAGCUGUGCGCAAGGAAAAAGGCAAAAACAGGAGUAUCUUUGGGAGCAAUGGCUUUCUGAUGUUAAUUCUCAGAAUGAACAGAGGCAUGCCAAGAAAAUCUUGGUGUUUCACAGAAUCACAGGGAUAGGAAGGGACCUAAGAGACCAUCAAGUCCAAUCCCUCAGCUAAAGCAGGUACCCUACAACGGAUCGCACUGGUAGGUGCCCAGUUGGGUCCUGAGUAUUGCCACAGAAGGAGACUCCACAGCCUCUCUGGGCAACCUGUUCCAGGGCUCCCUCAUCCUUACCAUAAUGAAGUUCCCUUGCACAUUAGUACAGUAACUUCCUACAUACAAGUUUUAGGCCAUUACUCCUUGUCUUACUGCUGCGUACCACUGAAAAGAGCCUGCCUCAUCCCUUUGCCUCACACAUCCCUUUAGAUAUUUAUAAACAUUUAUCAGAUCCCAUCUCAGCCUCCUUUCCCCCAGGCUGAGCAGACCCAGGUCACUCAGCCUUUCUUCAUGUGGGAAACGCUCCAGGCCCAUCAUCUUUGUGGCCCUCCAUUGGACACUUUCCAGGAGAUCUGUCUUUUUUUUUGAACACAGCCUAAACACGACCUCACAAGGUCAAAGUAGAUAAAAGUUGUUAAUAAAGACAAAAGUUCCUCAUGAGUUUUCAUUGAGGAUAUCGUCAAAGUAAAGAACAAGAACAAUCGUGUUUUCUCUUUAUUUUUGUCUUAGGUAGAAAACAGCUACUCAGAUUCUUAUAAGGCACUUGAUGUUAUGCCAAUUAAAAGAGCGCUUGUGAGCUCUAGGCUUUGAAUAUCCAUUCUAACUAGGCUGUAGGCACUUUUGAAAAUUCUGUGCGAGUCUCCAGAUGAUCCUAGACUUUUGGAAGUCCAGAACUAUUGUCUACAUAAUUUUUGACAAGAUCUCUGGGAAGGGGUGAUACAAAAUUUCAGUUCUCCUAUUCUGACCAAGGGGUUUUUCCCUUUCCCCUCUCAUUUCCUCUUCAUACUCCUUUUCCCACUAGUAAAUAUUUUUAUUCAGUACCACAUUCAAGUUAAUCACAUUUAUUUGUUUUGGAUAAUUGCUUAGAUGAUUGUUUAUCACAAAGUAAACAUUGUACUUAAUUAUUUUGGAGCUGACAAUGAUAAAGGCAGGUUGAUUCUCUUAAAGCAGCACUGUGUUAAUAUUAAGCUCUAACUUGCAGCUCACAGAGUUCGGUGAACAUGGAAAUAAAAUACUGUGUUCUCCUUCCCUGCCUUCUCUCUUAAUUUGAAGCUGCCAGUCAUAGUUUAUUGUUUUGAUAUCAAAUAGAACAUAUAGACUGACUCAACUAAUUCCAUGACUGUGCCUUAAGUGUUGAGAACACAGUAUUUCUUAAAAUAUUUAUUCUUUAUCUUAAGUGACAAGGCAGAGGCUAAAUGACACCUUCAGCACACUACACAUUCUAAAUUGACAAUAUUGUUAUCAUAGGAACUUCAAUAUAUUAGCACGAGGAUAUUAUAAAUCUGCCCAGAAAACAGAAGUAGUUACCACUAAAAAAUAACUUUUUUCAUUUUCCUCUCUAGAUCUAGAUUCAAAUUUGAGUUUUUAACUUCACAGGCAAGCAAUAAUCCAUAAUUAAAUUCAUUCUUCUGCAAAUGCAAAUUUUUCCCAUACUGGAUCUACAUUAUUUAGAUUUCAGACAAUGUUACUGGUUCAGCAAUAUGCUAAACUCUUAUUAUAGCCUGAGCAGAGACUGAUGAUCUUGAAGUGAAGUUCAAAAACCCCUGACAGGUUUCAAAGCCAACUAACGCUUAAUCAAUUGAACCCAGAAGGCAAAAAGAAAAUAGCAUCAACCUUCAUGAUUGUUACUGGAUCAGUGUAGUCCCUACUACACUGUAAAAAGGAACCUUUAACAUUGAUAAUGACAUAUAAGCAAAUGCAAUUGGAGCUUGCCUGCAGCUACGUGGGUGCAAGCCUUACUUUCCUAGCAGAAAAGAAGUGCAUUUGUCAAGACACAAUGGUCAUACUCAAAAAUUAAAGGGGGUAACUUGUCUCAGAAUGUACACUCAGCCUUUUCAGUGAUGAUAAAAAGUGACCUUGCCCUUUUCAUAUUGCAUCCAGAAAGAACACAAACUACACCACAAAGCUGAAUAAUAACUUGCAACACAGCAAUUUCUCAAAAGGUAUUAAAAUGCAGUUUGAGAGCAGUAGCAUUGGGGUGGUUUAGUCUGUCUUGCCUUGUGGCCUUACCCCUCUUCAUAUAUCACUGAGAUACAGUUAAUCAAUUAAAAAAAAAAAAAUCACUUAUAAAAUUUCUUCAUGCAUAGCUUUCCAGAGCAAGGGCUACUCACAAGAAAGGUUUUUACCACAAGAGGAAUAAGAAGAAUACAUUGGUAACAGUUCUUACUGCAGCACAGAGUCUCUGAAUUCACCAGCUGUUAAGCACUUUUAAUUCACUUUGUCAACCAGUGCUAAUGAACUGUUGUAACAAGGGGGGAAAUAUCACGGUACAUCGAGGAGGGACCUGCUUACAGUGAUCAAAAUGGAAAAAACUAACAUUAUUUGGUUACACAGUUGAUUCAUGGAGCGUGGAGAAUGCUUUAAAUAGAGACUUUUCUCCCUUAUGUAUAUAUCACUUGUACGUUAAGAUAAACUUUUGAGACUUUUUUUAGUGUACUGUUGCUUUUUUCCCUCCAGGAAGAUACAUUUUCUGUAGUGUGCAUUUUCAAUAAAACCUAAGAAAUAACACCAGAACAACAUUGUUUGUAACUCCACCUAGCGGUCUUAAAACCUCCCAGUGUAUUUAUGCAGUUGAUAGCUUGCACAUCGAGAACUCUCUCCUUAUUUGCUUUUGGCUAUACUCUUAUUUUCAUAUAAAAAUUAAAAGCUAGCCACAUUUUAUAUAGCAUUUGUUUUCAAAUACCUCUGCAACAUCAGCAGUGAUUUUACAUGAACUUGCAACUUUCGCUCUCAAGAGUCAAAAUCUUAUUAGUGCAAUAUAGUGAGUACAGUGGAAACUGUAUACGGAGAUGUUGCCAUUCAGUGCUACCAACCCAUUUUGGGAGUUGAAGUAAGCAUCUGUUUGACAACAUACAGCAAGCAUGUUACCAUUUAAAAUAAAGGAACAGUGUUAACUCUGGUAUGGUGAGAAGAUACUCAUACUUCCCAAAUUAGUAUACAGAGAGUACAAGAGUAUCGGUACUUCAGGUAACAAAUAACGAUCUAGAAUACAUCAUCACAAAUGCUGAAGACCUCAAUUUUGUUUGUAAUCUGAGAAAAAAAGUGGCCUACUAUCUCCAAAAGCGCUCUGCUUCUCUUCACUGUACAGGACAUUAGUACAGAAGGUAUUCAGAGAAAAGGACGAUACACAGUGAACACAUACUUUGUUUCACAUGAUAACUCCAUUAAGAGAGCCUUAGAAAUGCAUUAAAUCUGUAACCAUUUACUUAUUAACUGCCUUUACAUUGCUUUUCCGUAUGCAUAGAAUAAGUUCAAGCCUUUAAACAUAUUAUGACCUUCAUUUUAGAAUAGCAUUGACCAAUAAAACCAUAACGUGGUCAAAGCUGCAGCAAUAAUGGUGGAGCAGCACACCCCUAUACUACAGAAAAUGAAAACAAACCCAAACACAGCAGCAACAGACACACAAACAAAAGUAGUAAAAUUACCCACCUCAAAAAAGCAUCAGACAUACAGAGACCUUUAUCAGGAUACUCUUGCCUCCAUUGCCAACCUUUAACUGAGGUCUGGGAAGGGGUGAAUCCUGGCUCCACCCCUUCUGGUCACCCGAGUACAUUGCAUGCACCUGAGCUGCUCUAGACUGGCCCUGCCUUCCCACCAGGUGCUCAAUCACUGCUUCAAAACAUGAGUAAGCAUUUCUGCUAUGCUGUUGUAAUAAGAGAUAUGCUGUUAUUGUUUAUUGUUUUGUUUCCUAUUUAUUCACCUUACAAGGUAUGGUGCUUCAGACCCUCUUUUUGUUGUUGCGUAGAGCAGCUAGUUCAAAAAAGAUCUCAGCUUAUGUGUGCUUACUGCUAGAGAUGGUAACAAGAAACUCACUUCUUAAUUCUUAGAAAGGGAAGGAAACAGUGAGUUUUAGACAAGGCUAUUAUCAAUGCAUUUACAAUCAUUAGCAUUUCAACAAGCUUUUUAUUUUUUAAAUUAUCUGCUGCAUGUGUGUAUGAGAAGUGUUGAGUCACGGCCUGAACCACUGAUUGAGCACCUGAGGAAAUGACCCAGUCAGCCCUGGGAGCACAGGUGAAGGCAAUUCAGUUGGGUGACAGAAAUGGUUGCAGCCUGGCUGUGCCUCUCUUAGAUGUCAUUUCAGUGCUGACUGCCCCUGAGGAAGGAUAAUUUCUUGGGGGGUCGCUCCUUGGUGGAGCUUUCCCUUGUAACCUGGAAUCUUCUGAUACGGUGUGGAUUGAAAAUUGCGAGCCUGCUAUGCAUUCUCUUCCUAUGACUUCCUGCAAAGUACAGCUUUUAUUCCAGUCUUCCUCUGAGAACUUUAGGAAGCAAAAGUGCUGCUAGUAGUCAUAAGCUCAAAUAAUGAAAAGUUUAAGGAGUGAACGUAUUAAAAAGAUACUAUUCAAAAUGUAAGAUCUGAUCAUUUCUAUUCUUGUAUGGAGGUUAUAUGCUAGUGAUUCAGAUUGUAGAGGUUGAUAAAAAUGAUUUACUGACUACAAAAACAAAAAUAAUAUAUAAAACAUCUCUAAUGGAAGACUUUUACACUGUUUUCUAAAAUGAAGCUCUCAAUUUGCUAUACUGAAAUCUCCAACACCCGCAUAAUCUCAAAUAGUGGAAAUAGCCAAGUUAUUUUACUGCUAUGUGUUCUUGUCUAUGAAGAAGCUAUCUACUUCCAUGGAUAAGCCCCUCCUCAGCCUACUGGAGAGUUCUGUUGUCACUACAACUAGUGAACUCACAGCACAGGAAGGGAACAACUCAGUACUAGGUUAUCUAGUAUGAAAAAAAAAAUUACUGCUGCCAAAUACUUGAAAAUUGUUUUGGUUUCAUAUAGAGAACUGGCAAAUAGCAGAUCCUGGAAGUCAGCUUAUAAUAUCUGUAUGCUGUGAACUGCCUGCUGUGCUGGGAGGCAUAAAAAUAAAUGAGAACAUUAAAAUGGAAGUCAGGACAAUCUAGUGUGAUUCAGAAUACAAAGAGUGAGAGAGUGCAUAAGGAAAGGCUGGACCUGGUCACUGGGGCUGCAUACAACACUUGAGUCCUUGACGAGAAGCACUGAAUUCAUUCAAAUAAAAUGCACUCAGAAGCCUAUUUUUAGAUAACAAGCCUAUUGCAUACUCUUGAAAGAAGAUAUGAAGCUUUAAAAAUUGUUACGUGCUCAUUUGACUUUCAUUGACACCUGAGAAAGAAGCCUUUUAGCAUCGCUUUGUACAUUUUUAAUAAAAUAAUCAAUUGUCAAAAAGAAUUGAAGACUGGAAAUGUGUGUUACCAGCUGUUUCUGAUGUAUAGCUCUAGGCUGUGAGUUUGUUUGGUGUUUUCUCACCAAACACUGGGAGUCUUGUAUCACACUCUAUGAAACAACAGUAGCACCUAUUAUCACAUGGCAAAUUCAGUGAGAGGCAACAAAUGUGCCUUACUUCUAUGUCCUGUGAAGUUAAGGAGCACCUUUACUCCAAAAUCAGGGUGUGUCCAGCGCUAUGUUGUUCUCUUGUCCUUCCAAUCCUUGGGUUUCCAAGGGAAAUGCAUGAAUAUGUUGUCUCAUGUCCAUGAGUCUCCUUGAUAAGAACCUUCAAGAGCCCCCUUACGCUAAAGAAAAAAUGUCUCUUCAUUGUUUAUCUUCCCAUUUCUUCUGACUGAUGGCACCCCAUCCUUGGUUUAAAAACAAACAAACAAAAAAACA
Long non-coding RNA from Lagopus muta (rock ptarmigan), 11714 nucleotides. RefSeq lists it as uncharacterized. The transcript is spliced from 3 exons. Lineage: Eukaryota; Metazoa; Chordata; Aves; Galliformes; Phasianidae. The record is from RefSeq and is a predicted model, not a curated record.